AAUUACAUAAAAUCUCCUAUCAAUACCCGCUUUUUCACUUUCUCCCAUGUCAUUUAAAAUUCUAUACUUUGCCUCAUUGUAAAAUGAAAAAUGCUCUCAGGGGAUUUGGUGUUAACUUAUAAUGACAAAAUAACCAAUUUGCCCUUCAACACGCGGCAAUGAGGAUAUUUUUGGUAUAAAAAAAUAUAUAAUAAUAUUUUAUAAAUGGAAUCCUAACGGAGCAUUAACGGCAGGGAAUGAAGUGAAAAAUUUUCAUUUUACAAGGGGGCAAAGUGUAGGUUUUUAAAUAACAGGGAAAAAAGUGAAAAAAAACGGAUAUUGAUAGGGGGUUUUAUGUAAUUUAGCCUAAAAAAAUUUUAAUAAUUGGGUUAUAUUAUUA
RNAcentral lists this long non-coding RNA (379 nucleotides) under Ananas comosus (pineapple). Its description in RNAcentral is "long non-coding RNA (ACOM_LNC025711)". The record is from RNAcentral. Lineage: Eukaryota; Viridiplantae; Streptophyta; Magnoliopsida; Poales; Bromeliaceae.